CCUACGGGAGGCAGCAGUGAGGAAUAUUGGUCAAUGGACGCAAGUCUGAACCAGCCACGCCGCGUGCAGGAUGACGGCUCUAUGAGUUGUAAACUGCUUUUGUACGAGGGUAAACCCCGAUACGCCUAUCGGGUUGAAAGUAUCGUACGAAUAAGGAUCGGCUAACUCCGUGCCAGCAGCCGCGGUAAUACGGAGGAUCCGAGCGUUAUCCGGAGUUAUUGGGUUUAAAGGGUGCGUAGGUGGUUGGAUAAGGUAGAGGUGAAAUGUCGGGGCUCAACCCCGAAACUGCCUGUGAUACUGUUGGACUAGAGAAUAGUUGCGGUAGGCGGAAUGUAUGGUGUAGCGGUGAAAUGCUUAGAGAUCAUGCAGAACACCGAUUGCGAAGGCGGCUUACCGAACUAUAUCUGACGUUGAGGCACGAAAGCGUGGGUAGCAAACAGGAUUAGAUACCCUUGUAGUC
Molecule: ribosomal RNA, 460 nt
Filed under: uncultured bacterium
Lineage: Bacteria
Description: partial 16S ribosomal RNA
Rfam family: Bacterial small subunit ribosomal RNA
Source: RNAcentral